RNAcentral lists this ribosomal RNA (309 nucleotides) under uncultured bacterium. RNAcentral describes it as "bacterial SSU rRNA". It matches the Rfam family "Bacterial small subunit ribosomal RNA", at positions 775 to 1079 of the family's 1533-position model. The record is from RNAcentral.
AGUCAAUAGAUACCCGGGUAGUCCACGCCGUAAACGAUGAGUACUAGGUGUAGGAGGUAUCGACUCCUUCUGUGCCGCAGUUAAACACAAUAAGUACUCCGCCUGGGAAGUACGGUCGCAAGAUUAAAACUCAAAGGAAUUGACGGGGGCCCGGCACAAGCAGCGGAGCAUGUGGUUUAAUUACGAAGCAACGCGAAGAACCUUACCUAGACUUGACAUCUCCUGAAUAGUGUAGAGAUACAUGAAGCCCUUCGGGUCGAGAAGACAGGUGGUGCAUGUUGUCGUCAGCUCGUGUCGUGAGAUGUUGGG